UUAAGCGACUAAGCGUACACGGUGGAUGCCCUGGCAGUCAGAGGCGAUGAAGGACGUGCUAAUCUGCGAUAAGCGUCGGUGAGGUGAUAUGAACCGUUAUAACCGGCGAUUUCCGAAUGGGGAAACCCAGUGUGUUUCGACACACUAUCAUUAACUGAAUCCAUAGGUUAAUGAGGCGAACCGGGGGAACUGAAACAUCUAAGUACCCCGAGGAAAAGAAAUCAACCGAGAUUCCCCCAGUAGCGGCGAGCGAACGGGGAGGAGCCCAGAGCCUGAAUCAGUGUGUGUGUUAGUGGAAGCGUCUGGAAAGGCGCGCGAUACAGGGUGACAGCCCCGUACACAAAAAUGCACAUAUUGUGAGCUCGAUGAGUAGGGCGGGACACGUGGUAUCCUGUCUGAAUAUGGGGGGACCAUCCUCCAAGGCUAAAUACUCCUGACUGACCGAUAGUGAACCAGUACCGUGAGGGAAAGGCGAAAAGAACCCCGGCGAGGGGAGUGAAAAAGAACCUGAAACCGUGUACGUACAAGCAGUGGGAGCCUCUUAAUGGGGUGACUGCGUACCUUUUGUAUAAUGGGUCAGCGACUUAUAUUCUGUAGCAAGGUUAACCGAAUAGGGGAGCCGAAGGGAAACCGAGUCUUAACUGGGCGUUAAGUUGCAGGGUAUAGACCCGAAACCCGGUGAUCUAGCCAUGGGCAGGUUGAAGGUUGGGUAACACUAACUGGAGGACCGAACCGACUAAUGUUGAAAAAUUAGCGGAUGACUUGUGGCUGGGGGUGAAAGGCCAAUCAAACCGGGAGAUAGCUGGUUCUCCCCGAAAGCUAUUUAGGUAGCGCCUCGUGAAUUCAUCUCCGGGGGUAGAGCACUGUUUCGGCAAGGGGGUCAUCCCGACUUACCAACCCGAUGCAAACUGCGAAUACCGGAGAAUGUUAUCACGGGAGACACACGGCGGGUGCUAACGUCCGUCGUGAAGAGGGAAACAACCCAGACCGCCAGCUAAGGUCCCAAAGUCAUGGUUAAGUGGGAAACGAUGUGGGAAGGCCCAGACAGCCAGGAUGUUGGCUUAGAAGCAGCCAUCAUUUAAAGAAAGCGUAAUAGCUCACUGGUCGAGUCGGCCUGCGCGGAAGAUGUAACGGGGCUAAACCAUGCACCGAAGCUGCGGCAGCGACACUAUGUGUUGUUGGGUAGGGGAGCGUUCUGUAAGCCUGUGAAGGUGUACUGUGAGGUAUGCUGGAGGUAUCAGAAGUGCGAAUGCUGACAUAAGUAACGAUAAAGCGGGUGAAAAGCCCGCUCGCCGGAAGACCAAGGGUUCCUGUCCAACGUUAAUCGGGGCAGGGUGAGUCGACCCCUAAGGCGAGGCCGAAAGGCGUAGUCGAUGGGAAACAGGUUAAUAUUCCUGUACUUGGUGUUACUGCGAAGGGGGGACGGAGAAGGCUAUGUUGGCCGGGCGACGGUUGUCCCGGUUUAAGCGUGUAGGCUGGUUUUCCAGGCAAAUCCGGAAAAUCAAGGCUGAGGCGUGAUGACGAGGCACUACGGUGCUGAAGCGACAAAUGCCCUGCUUCCAGGAAAAGCCUCUAAGCAUCAGGUAACAUCAAAUCGUACCCCAAACCGACACAGGUGGUCAGGUAGAGAAUACCAAGGCGCUUGAGAGAACUCGGGUGAAGGAACUAGGCAAAAUGGUGCCGUAACUUCGGGAGAAGGCACGCUGAUAUGUAGGUGAAGCGACUUGCUCGUGGAGCUGAAAUCAGUCGAAGAUACCAGCUGGCUGCAACUGUUUAUUAAAAACACAGCACUGUGCAAACACGAAAGUGGACGUAUACGGUGUGACGCCUGCCCGGUGCCGGAAGGUUAAUUGAUGGGGUUAGCGGUAACGCGAAGCUCUUGAUCGAAGCCCCGGUAAACGGCGGCCGUAACUAUAACGGUCCUAAGGUAGCGAAAUUCCUUGUCGGGUAAGUUCCGACCUGCACGAAUGGCGUAAUGAUGGCCAGGCUGUCUCCACCCGAGACUCAGUGAAAUUGAACUCGCUGUGAAGAUGCAGUGUACCCGCGGCAAGACGGAAAGACCCCGUGAACCUUUACUAUAGCUUGACACUGAACAUUGAGCCUUGAUGUGUAGGAUAGGUGGGAGGCUUUGAAGUGUGGACGCCAGUCUGCAUGGAGCCGACCUUGAAAUACCACCCUUUAAUGUUUGAUGUUCUAACGUGGGCCCCUUACCGGGGUUGCGGACAGUGUCUGGUGGGUAGUUUGACUGGGGCGGUCUCCUCCUAAAGAGUAACGGAGGAGCACGAAGGUUGGCUAAUCCUGGUCGGACAUCAGGAGGUUAGUGCAAUGGCAUAAGCCAGCUUGACUGCGAGCGUGACGGCGCGAGCAGGUGCGAAAGCAGGUCAUAGUGAUCCGGUGGUUCUGAAUGGAAGGGCCAUCGCUCAACGGAUAAAAGGUACUCCGGGGAUAACAGGCUGAUACCGCCCAAGAGUUCAUAUCGACGGCGGUGUUUGGCACCUCGAUGUCGGCUCAUCACAUCCUGGGGCUGAAGUAGGUCCCAAGGGUAUGGCUGUUCGCCAUUUAAAGUGGUACGCGAGCUGGGUUUAGAACGUCGUGAGACAGUUCGGUCCCUAUCUGCCGUGGGCGCUGGAGAACUGAGGGGGGCUGCUCCUAGUACGAGAGGACCGGAGUGGACGCAUCACUGGUGUUCGGGUUGUCAUGCCAAUGGCACUGCCCGGUAGCUAAAUGCGGAAGAGAUAAGUGCUGAAAGCAUCUAAGCACGAAACUUGCCCCGAGAUGAGUUCUCCCUGACUCCUUGAGAGUCCUGAAGGAACGUUGAAGACGACGACGUUGAUAGGCCGGGUGUGUAAGCGCAGCGAUGCGUUGAGCUAACCGGUACUAAUGAACCGUGAGGCUUAACCU
RNAcentral lists this ribosomal RNA (2901 nucleotides) under Escherichia coli. RNAcentral describes it as "23S ribosomal RNA". It matches the Rfam family "Bacterial large subunit ribosomal RNA". RNAcentral also lists the same sequence under 1 other name. Lineage: Bacteria; Pseudomonadati; Pseudomonadota; Gammaproteobacteria; Enterobacterales; Enterobacteriaceae. The record is from RNAcentral.